GAUGAACGCUGGCGGCGUGCCUAAUACAUGCAAGUCGAGCGAACAGACGAGGAGCUUGCUCCUUUGACGUUAGCGGCUGACGGGUGUGUAACACGUAGGUAACCUACCUAUAAGACUUGUAUAACUUCGUGAAACCGGAUCUAAUACCGGAUAAUAUUUCUAACCGCAUGGUUCUUUAGUUAAAGAUGGCUUUGCUAUCUCUUAUAGAUUUACCUUCGCCGUAUUAGCUAGUUGGUAAGGUAACGGCUUACCAAGGCAACGAUACGUAGCCGACCUGAGAGGGUGAUCGGACAAACUGGAACUGAGACACGGACAAGAGAACUACGGGAGGCAGCAGAAGGGAAUAUUCCGAAAUGGGCGAAAGCAUGACGGAGCAAAGCCGCGUGAGUGAUGAAGGUCUUAGGAUCGUAAAACACUGUUAUUAGGGAAGAACAAAAGUGUAAGAAAAUGUGCACGUAAUGACGGUAACUAAUCAGAAAGCAACGGCUAACUACGUG
This 497-nucleotide ribosomal RNA is filed under the name uncultured bacterium. RNAcentral's name for it is "partial 16S ribosomal RNA". It matches the Rfam family "Bacterial small subunit ribosomal RNA", at positions 28 to 507 of the family's 1533-position model. The record is from RNAcentral.